Molecule: long non-coding RNA, 3797 nt
Filed under: Limulus polyphemus (Atlantic horseshoe crab)
Lineage: Eukaryota; Metazoa; Arthropoda; Merostomata; Xiphosura; Limulidae
Description: uncharacterized LOC111088855
Source: RNAcentral
ACAUUUUUGUAUUUAAUACGAAUAUAAAAAUACAACGUUAAAAGAGAGUUAAACAUGAACCAGUCACGGAUGUUUUUUUUAUUAAGCUGUUAAUUUCGAAAUCGUAACAGUAAAAUCAAUAUUUCGGUUUCAGAUUGAGGUGUGAAGUCCAGCAGAAGGUUAACAUUAUUUCAGCGGCCAGCUUGAGGGUACUAGGCGUAGUAGAAGGUUAACAUUAAAGUGUUAUUUCAGCGGCCAGCUUGAGGGUACUAGGCGUAGUAGAAGGUGAACUUAAUGGUUUCACACAUGCUAUUAAUUAAAGUUUUUUUUAUUCAACAUGAGAAUACCAAGUAACUCAUUAGAUCUAAAUAUAUCGAACAACCAGUAUAGACGGAUUAAUGAAUCUCCUAAGUCACCAUGCAGCGUCUGUAAGGUAUCGAACCACCAUUAAAGACAGAUUAGUGAAUCUUCUAAGUCACAGUUCGGGGUCUGUAAGGUAUCGAACCACGAGAAAAUGUGGAUUAGUGAAUCUUCUUAGUCACAGUUCAUGGUCUGUAAGGUAUCGAACCACCAUUAAAGACGGAUUAGUGAAUCUUCUAAGUCACAGUUCAGGGUCUGUAAGGUAUCGAACCACGAGAAAAUGUGGAUUAGUGAAUCUUCUAAGUCACAGUUCAUGGUCUGUAAAGGCAUAUUUGUGGUACUCCACACUGUGCUAAUGUUUAGUUGGAUUUAAUAGACUGUGAAGGUGAGGCAUGUUUGUGGUACUGCACACUGUGCUAAUGUUUAGUUGGAUUUAAUAGACUGUGAAGGUGAGGCAUGUUUGUGGUACUGCACACUGUACUAAUGUGUCAUUACAUUACACGUGUUAUUAAGUAUUAAUUUGGAAUCACCACAAGUUUCCUUUACGUGUAUUGUUAUUAAGUAAUUGAUUAGGACUGUAAUUGUUACGUGAGUUAAGUGUAAAUACUUUAAAUGUAAAUAUAUAUAUAUAUAUUUAUUUGUGAUCUGUCUUCUAAAUCUAGGACAGGCGUAUGAAAGUCUCCAAGUCGAUGACGCCUGUUAUUCAUUAAAUAAAAAGGUCUUCUAUAAAGUUACGAACUCAAACGGAUGUUACAACCGAUGACAUGAGUUUAUGCAACUAAUGUAUGAUUACGAGGUUUCACUAGCCUAAUUCUCCCAUUUUUGUGGCUAAUUGGAACUUGAGGUUCUCGUGUAAGGGGGUAUUGAUUACUUAUCAUCUCCUAAUUAGGCUAAGGACCUCGUUUUUUCGGUCGUGGUUUGUAAACUAUAUUGCUUACGUGAAUUAUUACAGUCGAACGAGGUCCUUAGAUAAUUUCUUGUUUUUUUUUUUAUUAACUCUUCCGAUCUUUCAGUUCCUAUCAAUGAUGAAUCUCAAUCGUAAUUAUUCGUUCCCAUUUUGUAAAAAAAAAGCGUCUAUUACAACUCCGUAUAGUUUUUUUUAACCACAAAAUAUUCCCCGCACUUUAGCCGUGGUUGCGUUAUAAGUGUGACAGUUAAUCCCUUAGCGUGGUCGUGGAAGGUAAGUAUUAUAUUACUACUGACUAGUUGUUUACUUCUGGUAAGUUCCAAAUUAUGGCACAUAUAAUAUUUACAUAUUUGCCGUAAAUAUAAAAUACAAAACUCUUCUGAAUAACUUUUGAUCAAAUUAUUACGAGUUAAUGUAACUAAUGGAAACCGAAAUGUAAUCAGACCAAAGUUUUUAAAUUUAGUAUCGUCACACACCAGUGACGUUUUUACACGAUAGAAGAUUUUUAUAUAUUACACGUUUUCUUGAAUUCUUAAAACGACUUCAUAUUUUACACGAGUUGAUGUGCCGGGCUGCCUAUCGUAAGGUACGAAGUUCGAAAACCCAGCUUGGGUGACUAGCCGGCUUCUGUUAUCGCGACCAGCUGACAUCAAGAAAUCGAACUUUGCUUUAAAAACGAAAUUGACGUAGAUUUGAUUGUAGCCCGGGAUUCUCCAUCAUCUCGACUGUUUGGAUUUGACUGUAGCCCGGGAUUCUCCAUCAUCUCGACUGUUUGGAUUUGACUGUAGCCCGGGAUUCUCCAUUAUCUCGGCUGUUUGGAUUUGACUGUAGCCCGGGAUUCUCCAUUAUCUCGGCUGUUUGGAUUUGACUGUAGCCCGGGAUUCUCUAUUAUCUCGGCUGUUUGGAUUUGACUGUAGCCCGGGAUUCUCCAUUAACUCGGCUGUUUGGAUUUGACUGUAGCCCGGGAUUCUCCAUUAUCUCGGCUGUUUGGAUUUGACUGUAGCCCGGGAUUCUCCAUUAACUCGGCUGUUUGGAUUUGACUGUAGCCCUGGAUUCUCCACUAUCUCGGCUGUUUUGUAAGAAUCUAGAAAGUGAAAAUACUCGUUCUUGCAGAUCGUUUGACACUUAAGUUAUGCCAAUAGGUUUUAUUAAGUUGCUGGAGAGCUAAAAACAAACUUCAAUUGGCAACUGUAAUCACAAAUGCUUGUGGUUAAUUCAAUACUAAAAGCGAUGGAAAAACAUUGGCUGAAUUCCGUUUCCACAGUCUACUGUUAACUGAAACUAAGGUGAUUAUAUAUUAUACUUAUAGGAUCAGAAUUUAUUUUCAGGUAUACACUACUAAUUAUUACGCUGCUUCAAGCUUCGAGGUCUGCAUAGCUAAUUAAGUAAAUAUUACGAGUAACUCUCUACACGGCCACUGCUGGAAAGGUGUAGCAGCCAAAAACCACACUACACACAAUAAUGUUAAGACGAUCGGUAGGCCUGAGAAGUUCGUAAUGAUGACAAGCGUGGAAUGAAAAUUAGGGUUCGAACGGCUGAUGUAAUAUCUUAGUUGAGCUGUAGUGAAUGCCAAUAACCAAAGUAUCUAGCCAGUCAGCCUGACAAGGACCCCGCACAUACAGCCACUAGAUGGAAUAGAUAUGACGUCAAUUAUAUGUCGUAGGUUGUUGGGUUUUGGGCGAGCUGUGGCCACUAUUUCUUUACCACAAAAUAUUUAUACCAUAUUUGGUGGCGUAAGAAAUAUAGACUGAUUAGAACUCAAGCAAAAAAAAAGUGUUGUGCAUUCUGAAGUGAAUGUGAGAAUCGCUCGUUAUUAAACUUUAGCUUUUGUGUUAGUUUUAUAAAACAUGUAACAAAUAAAAACAUUUCCUGCUCUGGCAAACAGUAUGGAACCAAAGUAUGUAUCUAUACGGACGAAUACGACAAAGGUUAUAUCCCAACAAUGGUUACCUGAAUACGACAAAGUUUGUAUCCCAACAAUGGUUACCUGAAUACGACAAAAGUUUGUAUCCCAACAAUGGUUACCUGAAUACGACAAAAGUUUGUAUCCCAACAAUGGUUACCUGAAUACGACAAAGGUUAUAUCCCAACAAUGGUUACCUGAAUACGACAAAAGUUAUAUCCCAACAAUGGUUACCUGAAUACGACAAAGUUUGUAUCCCAACAAUGGUUACCUGAAUACGACAAAGUUUGUAUCCCAAGAAUGGUUACCUGAAUACGACAAAGUUUGUAUCCCAACAAUGGUUACCUGAAUACGACAAAGUUCAUAUCCCAACAAUGGUUACCUGAAUACGACAAAGUUCAUAUCCCAACAAUGGUUACUUGAAUACGAGAAGGGUUAUAUCCCAACAAUGGUUACCUAAGUAUGACAAAGUUCAUAUCCCAACAAUGGUUACCUUAAUACGACAAAUACUGCCGAGAAUCAUACCGGAGAGGAUUAUGGGUAUUUGAUGUGCUGACAAAAUGAUCACAUAAUAUAAUAGUUUACAGCAUUAACUAUUUAUGUACAAAUUGAUGUAAAUAAACUGGUAUAUUUAGUUUUCAUUGUUUC